RNAcentral lists this ribosomal RNA (787 nucleotides) under Mycobacteroides abscessus. Its description in RNAcentral is "partial 23S ribosomal RNA". It matches the Rfam family "Bacterial large subunit ribosomal RNA", at positions 1420 to 2159 of the family's 2925-position model. The record is from RNAcentral. Lineage: Bacteria; Bacillati; Actinomycetota; Actinomycetes; Mycobacteriales; Mycobacteriaceae.
CAAAAGGUUCUAGAUCAAUCUCUUCGGAGUGCGACGUGAACCCGCUGCGUGGGACCUUCGGUGGUAGUAGUCAAGCGAUGGGGUGACGCAGGAAGGUAGCUGUACCGGUUAGUGGUUAUACCGGAGCAAGCCCGUAGGACGACAUCUAGGCAAAUCCGGAUGUCAUACGUCUGAGAGGUGACGCAUAGCCGAUUGAGGCGAAUUCAGUGAUCCUAUGCUGCCAAGAAAAGCCUCUAGUGAGUUCACACACGGCCCGUACCCCAAACCAACACAGGUGGUCAGGUAGAGAAUACUAAGGCGUACGAGAUAACUAUGGUUAAGGAACUCGGCAAAAUACCCCCGUAACUUCGGGAGAAGGGGGACCUCGCUUGGUGACCGGACUUGCUCCGUGAGCUGAACGAGGUCGCAGAGACCAGUGAGAAGCGACUGUUUACUAAAAACACAGGUCCGUGCGAAGUCGCAAGACGAUGUAUACGGACUGACGCCUGCCCGGUGCUGGAAGGUUAAGAGGACCCGUUAACCCUUGGGUGAAGCGGAGAAUUUAAGCCCCAGUAAACGGCGGUGGUAACUAUAACCAUCCUAAGGUAGCGAAAUUCCUUGUCGGGUAAGUUCCGACCUGCACGAAUGGCGUAACGACUUCUCAACUGUCUCAACCAUAGACUCGGCGAAAUUGCACUACGAGUAAAGAUGCUCGUUACGCGCGGCAGGACGAAAAGACCCCGGGACCUUCACUAUAGCUUGGUAUUGGCGUUUGGUUCGGUUUGUGUAGGAUAGGUGGGAGACUGUG